CAUUGGUACUUGGUGAAAAGUAAUCCAAUUAGAGCAUUAGCAUCAGGCGUUCUAUCUCAAAUACCAUUUGCACAGCGCGUGGAUCACCAGGAACUAUAAGGGAUUAUAUGACAAGAUUAAAGUAGUUCCAAUUAACCUUCAAAAUAGGCCUGCUUGGUACAAAGAGGAAGUCUACCC
Quercus lobata is the source of this 177-nucleotide long non-coding RNA. RefSeq lists it as uncharacterized. Lineage: Eukaryota; Viridiplantae; Streptophyta; Magnoliopsida; Fagales; Fagaceae. The transcript has 2 exons. The record is from RefSeq and is a predicted model, not a curated record.